CCUACGGGUGGCAGCAGUGGGGGAUAUUGGACAAUGGGGGAAACCCUGAUCCAGCGACGCCGCGUGAGUGAAGAAGUAUUUCGGUAUGUAAAGCUCUAUCAGCAGGGAAGAAAGAAAUGACGGUACCUGAGUAAGAAGCCCCGGCUAACUACGUGCCAGCAGCCGCGGGAAUACGUAGGGGGCAAGCGUUAUCCGGAAUUACUGGGUGUAAAGGGAGCGUAGACGGUAAUGCAAGUCUGGAGUGAAAGGCGGGGGUCCACCCCCCGGACUGCUCUGGAAACUGGGUAACUGGAGUGCAGGAGAGGCAGGCGGAAUUCCUAGUGUAGCGGUGAAAUGCGUAGAUAUUAGGAGGAACACCAGUGGCGAAGGCGGCCUGCUGGACUGUAACUGACGUUGAGGCUCGAAAGCGUGGGGAGCAAACAGGAUUAGAUACCCUGGUAGUC
Molecule: ribosomal RNA, 443 nt
Filed under: uncultured bacterium
Lineage: Bacteria
Description: partial 16S ribosomal RNA
Rfam family: Bacterial small subunit ribosomal RNA
Source: RNAcentral